GAGUUCUUUAGUAACAUUCACCAUAACCAGUUCAUGGAAAUGAACAUUAUCUAUCUAUAGUGACCCUUUUAACAGUGAAAUAAACACAUGGGUCUCUCUCUCUCGGUCUCUCUCGCUCAGCGGGUUGAUCCUGCAGGACCUGACCUUUGUACAUCUGGGCAAUCCAGACCUGAUUGAUGGGAAAGUAAACUUCUCCAAGCGCUGGCAACAGUUCAACAUCCUGGACAGCAUGAGGCGCUUCCAACAAGUACACUACGAGCUGAAGAGGAACGAUGACAUUGUGGCGUUCUUCAACGACUUCAGCGACCACCUGGCCGAGGAGGCAUUGUGGGAGCUUUCACUGAAGAUCAAGCCACGCAACAUCACACGGCGCCGGACUGAGCGCGACGAGAAAACCUAGAGCGAGCAAAACGCCUCUAGAAACUUUUCCAGACAGCACAGAGGGAGUGAUGGGAAACCUGGAGUUUUCAGUGAUGGGAGAAAAAAACACAUGCAAGAUUUUAAUGAACAGAGUGGAGCAAAGGCAAUAUUUCCCCAAGAGAUGAGUAAUAUACUAAUAUAUGCAUACAUACACACACACACACACACACACACACACACACUGGAAGACUUCUUGUAUAUUUGUGUGCGAAUGUGUGUGUGUGUGAGAGAGAGAGAGACACACACAGAGAGAAAUAUAGAAGCGCUUGCUUGUUCUCAAUCACUGUGUCUACAUCAGUGAUGAACACUAAAGAGGCUCAUCAGAAGGUUGGGGUUACCCAUAAUGCCCCACUGCUGGGACUUCCUGUUCAGUAUAAAGCAGGGUCGAAUGGAAAAGAAAACAUGCAAAGUGUGUGUGUAUGUGUGGCCCUCCCUUAUUUGCCAUGUUUGUGGAGUAGUUACUCCAGCUCCAUCACAAACACACUCCGGACUCGUGUUGCCAGGCAACAGACUUACAGUGACAUUUGAGUGUUUUUGUUUUUUUUAACUCUCCUUUUUUUGCCAUCAUCUGUGUGUGAUAUAUUGUAUAUUAUAAUAAGCGUAUAAUGAUGUACAGGUGCGUAUUCUCCUCAUAUAUAUAUAAAUAAGAGAUCUGUUUCUUUUAAUUUUAAAGUAAAUUUAUGCACUAAAAAAGAAACAAAAAGCAAAAACACAAGGACUGAACAUGCUGUGAUCUCUGUAUAUGUGUCGGUAUGGGUGUGCGCUUGCAAGAAUGUUUGCAACUUGCAAGUGAUGUUAAGAGAAUAGUUCUUUGGGGGUGUGUGUGCGUGUGUGUCUGUGUGUUCAUGUGAACACACACAUGCAGGCAUGUCUGACUGUGUCACUUCUGUUUACUGACUCCUGGGAAUUACUUUUGUUAUGCUCACCACAUAUUGUGCUUUUCUCCCUGAAUAAAACUACACUUUCUAUA
This is a long non-coding RNA of Hemibagrus wyckioides, 1390 nucleotides long. RefSeq lists it as uncharacterized. Lineage: Eukaryota; Metazoa; Chordata; Actinopteri; Siluriformes; Bagridae. The transcript is spliced from 2 exons. The record is from RefSeq and is a predicted model, not a curated record.